Molecule: transfer RNA, 71 nt
Filed under: Ciona savignyi (Pacific transparent sea squirt)
Lineage: Eukaryota; Metazoa; Chordata; Ascidiacea; Phlebobranchia; Cionidae
Description: tRNA (ENSCSAVG00000012519.1)
Source: RNAcentral
AUACAAAUAAGAUAAACAUAAAUUAAUCUAUUAAUUUUAGGAAUUAAAUAUAUCUUUUAGAUUUUGUAUAA